AGGUGGAGAUUGCAGUGAGCUGAGAUCAUGCCACUGUACUCCAGCCUGAGCAACAGAAUGAGACUUCAUCUCAAAAACAAACAAACACUCUAAUAAUCUAUGUCUAAUAGGUUUGUUACUUACAUUUAAUGUAUUGACAUGUUUGAACUGAAGUCUACUGCUUUAUUAUUUGCUUUCUAUCUGUUCCCUCUUUCAUUCCUGUGUUUCUUUCUUUACUUUGUUUAGAUCUGAACAUAUUUUAGUAUUCCAUUUUAAUUUAUUUAUUGUGCUUUUGUAUAUAUCUUUAAGUAGUUUUCUUAGAGGUUGCUCUAGAUUAUAAUAUACAUAUUUAAUUUUUCAUAGUCUACUUAGAAUCAGUAUUUUACCAUUUCAAGUGGACUGUAGAAGUCUUACUGCAUACAAAACCUUUUACCCUCUCUCCCCUUUAUAGUAUGGUUUUCUAAUAUAUUGCAUUUUCAUGCAUUAAACACCCCACUGAACAAUAUAAUUUUUCUUUUAAACCAUCACAUAUACAUUAAAGAUAUCAAAAGAAAAAAAGUCCAUUAUAUUUACCCAGAUAUUCACCAUUUCUGUUGCUCUUCCUUCAUUCUUAAAAUUAUGUUUUCCU
Cebus imitator (Panamanian white-faced capuchin) is the source of this 607-nucleotide long non-coding RNA. RefSeq lists it as uncharacterized. The transcript is spliced from 3 exons. NCBI's taxonomy places the organism in Eukaryota, Metazoa, Chordata, Mammalia, Primates, Cebidae. The record is from RefSeq and is a predicted model, not a curated record.